AGAGUUUGAUCAUGGCUCAGGAUGAACGCUAGCGGCAAGCUUAAUACAUGCAAGUCGAGGGGCAGCAUGAAGUAGCAAUACUUUGAUGGCGACCGGCAAACGGGUGCGGAACACGUACACAACCUUCCUUUUAGUGGGGAAUAGCCCAGAGAAAUUUGGAUUAAUACCCCGUAAUAUAACGAUGUGGCAUCACAUUGUUAUUAUAGCUUCGGCGCUAGAUGAUGGGUGUGCGUAUGAUUAGAUAGUUGGCGAGGUAACGGCUCACCAAGUCUACGAUCAUUAGCUGAUGUGAGAGCAUGAUCAGCCACACGGGCACUGAGACACGGGCCCGACUCCUACGGGAGGCAGCAGUAAGGAAUAUUGGUCAAUGGACGCAAGUCUGAACCAGCUAUGCCGCGUGAAGGAUUAAGGUCCUCUGGAUUGUAAACUUCUUUUAUCUGGGACGAAAAAAGGUUUUUCUAAGCCUCUUGACGGUACCAGAUGAAUAAGCACCGGCUAACUCCGUGCCAGCAGCCGCGGUAAUACGGAGGGUGCAAGCGUUAUCCGGAUUCACUGGGUUUAAAGGGUGCGUAGGCGGGCAGGUAAGUCAGUGGUGAAAUCCUGGAGCUCAACUCCAGAACUGCCAUUGAUACUAUCUGUCUUGAAUAUUGUGGAGGUAAGCGGAAUAUGUCAUGUAGCGGUGAAAUGCUUAGAUAUGACAUAGAACACCCAUUGCGAAGGCAGCUUACUACGCAUAUAUUGACGCUGAGGCACGAAAGCGUGGGGAUCAAACAGGAUUAGAUACCCUGGUAGUCCACGCCCUAAACGAUGGAUACUCGACAUACGCGAUACACUGUGUGUGUCUGAGCGAAAGCAUUAAGUAUCCCACCUGGGAAGUACGUUCGCAGAAUGAAACUCAAAGGAAUUGGCGGGGGUCCGCACA
RNAcentral lists this ribosomal RNA (922 nucleotides) under uncultured bacterium. RNAcentral's name for it is "bacterial SSU rRNA". It matches the Rfam family "Bacterial small subunit ribosomal RNA", at positions 8 to 927 of the family's 1533-position model. The record is from RNAcentral.